Molecule: non-coding RNA, 29 nt
Filed under: Mus musculus (house mouse)
Lineage: Eukaryota; Metazoa; Chordata; Mammalia; Rodentia; Muridae
Source: RNAcentral
UCUGAGAAGUCCCCAGAAUCCUAAAUGUA